GUAAACAACACUAUCCUUUAUAAAACAUUGCUGUAAGUAUUAAACAAGGAAAAUAUUCAGUCUUUUUAAUUCUGUAGACUUUCGAUAUUUGACGUCUCGAUUCUUUGUGUUUUUUCUAUCUUUUAUGAAUGAAUGAUGUCUAUGAUUUGUGCGAGAUUUGGCUGCUAUUUCUAGCUAUGGAAGAUAGGUGUCUAUGAUUUGUGCGAGAUUUAGCUGCUAUUUCUAGCUAUGGAAGAGAAGUGUCUAUAUAAUUUGUGCGAGAUUUGGCUGCUAUUUCUAGCUAUGGAAGAGAGGUGUCUAUAUGAUUUGUGCGAGAUUUGGCUGCUAUUUCUAGCUAUGGAAGAGAGGUGUCUAUGAUUUGUGCGAGAUUUGGCUGCUAUUUCUAGCUAUGGAAGAGAGGUGUCUAUGAUUUGUGCGAGAUUUGGCUGCUAUUUCCAGCUAUGGAAGAGGUGUCUAUGAUUUGUGCGAGAUUUGGCUGCUAUUUCUAGCUAUGGAAGAGAGGUGUCUAUGAUUUGUGCGAAAUUUGGCUGCUAUUUCUAGCUAUGGAAGAGAGGUGUCUAUGAUUUGUGCGAAAUUUGGCUGCUAUUUCUAGCUAUGGAAGAGAGGUGUCUUUGAUUUGUGCGAGAUUUGGCUGCUAUUUUUAGCUAUGGAAGAGAGGUGUCUAUGAUUUGUGCGAGAUUUGGCUGCUAUUUCUAGCUAUGGAAGAGAGGUGUCUAUGAUUUGUGCGAGAUUUGGCUGCUAUUUCUAGCUAUGGAAGAGAGGUGUCUUUGAUUUGUGCGAGAUUGGCUGCUAUUUCUAGCUAUGGAAGAGAGGUGUCUAUAUGAUUUGUGCGAGAUUUGGCUGCUAUUUCUAGCUAUGGAAGAGAGGUGUCUAAGAUUUGUGCGAAAUUUGGCUGCUAUUUCUAGCUAUGGAAGAGAAGUGUCUAUGAUUUGUGCGAGAUUUGGCUGCUAUUUCUAGCUAUGGAAGAGAGGUGUCUAUGAUUUGUGCGAGAUUUGGCUGCUAUUUCUAGCUAUGGAAGAGAAGUGUCUAUGAUUUGUGCGAGAUUUGGCUGCUAUUUCUAGCUAUGGAAGAGAGGUGUCUAUGAUUUGUGCGAGAUUUGGCUGCUAUUUCCAGCUAUGGAAGAGAGGUGUCUAUAAUUUGUGCGAGAUUUGGCUGCUAUUUCUAGCUAUGGAAGAGAGGUGUCUAUGAUUUGUGCGAGAUUUGGCUGCUAUUUCCAGCUAUGGAAGAGAGGUGUCUUUGAUUUGUGCGAGAUUGGCUGCUAUUUCUAGCUAUGGAAGAGAGGUGUCUAUAUGAUUUGUGCGAGAUUUGGCUGCUAUUUCUAGCUAUGGAAGAGAGGUGUCUAAGAUUUGUGCGAAAUUUGGCUGCUAUUUCUAGCUAUGGAAGAGAAGUGUCUAUGAUUUGUGUUAGAUUUGGCUGCUAUUUCUAGCUAUGGAAGAGAAGUGUCUAUGAUUUGUGCGAGAUUUGGCUGCUAUUUCUAGCUAUGGAAGAGAGGUGUCUAUGAUUUGUGUUAGAUUUGGCUGCUAUUUCUAGCUAUGGAAGAGAAGUGUCUAUGAUUUGUGCGAGAUUUGGCUGCUAUUUCUAGCUAUGGAAGAGAAGUGUCUAUGAUUUGUGUUAGAUUUGGCUGCUAUUUCUAGCUAUGGAAGAGAAGUGUCUAUGAUUUGUGCGAGAUUUGGCUGCUAUUUCUAGCUAUGGAAGAGAGGUGUCUAUGAUUUGUGCGAGAUUUGGCUGCUAUUUCUAGCUAUGGAAGAGAAGUGUCUAUGAUUUGUGCGAGAUUUGGCUGCUAUUUCUAGCUAUGGAAGAGAGGUGUCUAUGAUUUGUGCGAGAUUUGGCUGCUAUUUCUAGCUAUGAAAGAGAGGUGUCUAUGAUUUGUGCGAGAUUUGGCUGCUAUUUCUAGCUAUGGAAGAGUGAUGUCGUCAAAAAAAAAAAAUAGUGCAACGGGUGUUAAAAAAUGGGGAGCAGGAAACGAAAAUGAAAGCAAAAAUGCGUGGAAAGAAACGGCGGGAUGGGGAGAGGAAUUCGGAAAAUUCACAAGAUCCGAGUUUUCCCUAAUAACUUUUAGGAAAAUGGUUUUAUUUUUUUUAAAUGAAAUUUUAUAUGAAUACCUUUGAAACGGCAUACAUUACGAUUAUAACGAAAUUUAUGGGUAAAAUCUUUUCCUAGGGGUGGGGAGAGGACUUCGGUAGAAUUUAUCUCCUUUCAGAAAGGGGUUAAUUUUGUAUUUUCGUUUUAUUAUCAUCAUCAUCAUCAUCAUUAUUAUUUUUGUAUUAUAAAUUCAGAAUUGAUUUUCCAAUUAAGGAAUAAAUUGUAUCUCAAUUGAAGAAUAAAUUGAAUUUAGAAUCACAAAUGUUUAUACAACAUAUUUUGCUUUUUUCUUCCAAAAUAUACAAAAUUUCAUUCGCGGACAACACCAGGUGUCUCUGCUAGUAAAUUAAAAAGUUCAGUUGUGAGGUAGAUGUUUAUUUCUACAGUUCCUCUCUACAGACGUGUUGUAGAUUUUCCACUGUUGAAUCUGUACUUAUAAAGUAACCUCUAUAUCUUUCACUGUUGUUUCUUUAUUAUUUCAGAAUAUCAGAUGACGUUUGGGAUACCAAGAGAUAUAUGCUCCUUAUCUAUCAUCUUUUGAAGACUGAAGAAAAAUGUUGUACUGAAGAGAUAUAUAACACUAUUUCUAUAAAUCUUUGGCAAAAUUACUGUGAAAUAUUUCCUCUGAACUGUGAUUAUUAGCAAAAUGUGUACUACACUGAUUGUAGUGUCUACAAGAUGAGAUUGUGUAAACUAAACUUGAAUAAAUUUACAAGAGUUCUUAGACAAAGGUAACACUAGACAAAAAUACAGCAGUAUGUAUAAUUGUAAAGAAUAAAGUACAAGAACAAA
Molecule: long non-coding RNA, 2874 nt
Filed under: Octopus vulgaris (common octopus)
Lineage: Eukaryota; Metazoa; Mollusca; Cephalopoda; Octopoda; Octopodidae
Source: RNAcentral